Molecule: unclassified non-coding RNA, 395 nt
Filed under: soil metagenome
Description: partial contains 5.8S ribosomal RNA, internal transcribed spacer 2, and large subunit ribosomal RNA
Rfam family: 5.8S ribosomal RNA (bases 1-120)
Source: RNAcentral
GAUGAAGAACGUAGCGAAAUGCGAUAAGUAAUGUGAAUUGCAGAAUUCAGUGAAUCAUCGAAUCUUUGAACGCACCUUGCGCCUUUUGGUAUUCCGAAAGGCACACCUGUUUGAGCGUCAUGAAUACCUCAAUCUCCAUCUUUUCUUCGGAUUGAUGGGUGACUUGGAUGUUGAGCCCUGCUGGUAUGCUAUAUCAGCUGGCUUUAAACUUAUUAGCCGGCUCUGUACUGGAUCGGUUUGACUCGACGUGAUAAUAUUAUCGUUGAGGAUGCAUGUCUCAGGCAGCCGGAAAGUAUCAAAGCAGCUUCUAGCUUGCCUUUAGUGCACUUUUACAUUUUAGACCUCAGAUCAGGUGGGACUACCCGCUGAACUUAAGCAUAUCAAUAAGCGGAGGA